Zea mays is the source of this 472-nucleotide long non-coding RNA. RefSeq lists it as uncharacterized. Lineage: Eukaryota; Viridiplantae; Streptophyta; Magnoliopsida; Poales; Poaceae. The record is from RefSeq and is a predicted model, not a curated record. The transcript has 2 exons.
GGGUGAGUUCAGAGGUAAACAUGGAGCUCAAAUCAUGAUGUGUAUUUGUGACAAUGUAAUAUCUACUAACCUCAUCCAGCAGCAACGGAUCAGAUUCACCUUCCAAUCGCAAAGGUACAUGGAAUUUAUCCAUCUCUGGUAAAUGAACAACAACCUUGGGGUAUCACCUUGAUGUACAUCAGAUAGUAAUAUACUGCAAUAACCAAGGGUUCCAAGCUUUGCACUAUGAAAGAGACUUAGAUGGUUACUUCAAACAACAUUCUCGUACAGGGAUAUUUCAAGAUUUAUCAUUACUGUGUCACUUAGUUUGCAUGCCCAAUAGCAUUGUAGCACAAAGCUAAUACACGCACCAUUGCUAGAUCUCGAGCCCUAGUAGUUCCAUCUCUUUUUUGGCAGCUCCUAUGGCCGUUUCAGCAAGGUCAAAGCUACCUACAUAUAUAAAAAAAGCAUAACAACUGUGAGUCUAGAAUUU